This is a non-coding RNA of Solanum lycopersicum (tomato), 2432 nucleotides long. The record is from RefSeq and is a predicted model, not a curated record. NCBI's taxonomy places the organism in Eukaryota, Viridiplantae, Streptophyta, Magnoliopsida, Solanales, Solanaceae.
UUCUCACCUGAAGAAACUCACACACAUAGCCAGAGUCAAGUAAUAUGGCUUCGCGUUUUGAAUGAAUAUAAAAAGUGUUAAGUGUAUGUUACUAUAUAUAUAGUCGACCUCAACUGGCUUGGAAUUGAAGCUAACUAAAAGCUGAACACAAAGACAGGUAGAUGUUUACCUCCACUCUGAAAUUGGGAGUAUUGGGUUGAGUUGGUGCCUGCAUUGAUGAAAAGACGCAUCAAAACUCAUACGUGAACACAUCUAACAUGGUGGUCACGAUAAGAGGUCGUGGAGGACACAUAUUAGGAUAGCAGGUUAGUAGGUAGUAGAGCGUUGUCUCGCUUAUUUUUCCAUAUUAGUAGUCAUAGUGUUAUUCGUGUAGCUUCUUGUACUUCGAUUAUUUCUUCACUUCCACUAUUUCUUGUUUCGACCAUCUUUGAAAUGUUUUUCCUUGAGCCGAGGGUCAAUAAGAAAAAACAUCUCUACUUCCCAAGGUAGGAGUAAGGUUUGCGUACACUCUACCCACCUUCCAGACCCAGACCCCCUCCCCCCCCCCCUCCUCGUGGGAUUGUACUAGGUAAGCUAUCCACUCUUUUUCGGUAUAAACAUCAUCGAUCACUGUAUAAAGUUAUCGAACACAUACUUGUUUUCCAAGGCUUGUGAUGUUUUCUCCACCCACUGUUGAAUUCUUCUGCAUGAUUGACAUCAACAAGAGAAUUAAUUGUUUGACAAAUAAGAAACGAUGAUUUAGAACUCGUAAUAUAACUCACAAGAAUGUUGUUAGUGUGGAGCACAAGCAUAACAGGUUACACAUAGAGAGGAAACUUUGUUGCUGCAUAUUGCAUAACAUUUCUCUCUAUGGAUGAAAUGAACUCAAAACAGUCGAUUCAAUGGAGCGAAUGUGUAUGUAAAGACUGUCAAUCAGUUACCUUCUUUUCAGGUUCUCCUAGUGUCGGAAGGCCGUAAUGAACAAUGUAUUCAGCAUCAACAACUCCAAUAUUUCGAGUUCUAUCUCCCUAUCACGAAAAUGAACCAAAAGAGCAUCAACAACUCAUGACUGUAACUCAAACGAGCUAUCGAUAUAACAAACGAAAAAUAAAUGCCCUGUCUCAUAUCCAGAACUACCUGUGCACAGUAACCAAGCUGAAUGUCUAAACCCCAAGCAUGGAUCAAGUCAUUCUGCGAAACAACGAUAGAAGGAAUAAGAGAAAAGGAGAUUACUGCUACAACAAUUCCUAGUUAUUUCCCAUGAAGAUAUCCGCGACAAGGCAUAAAACAAAAUUAAGUUACCCUGUACAAGGAGGAGCCAUACUGGUAUAGUCACAUCGAGUGCCAGUAUCGCCAGCCUUAUAAGUCCUUCUGCAAUGUAAUGUGUUAAUCAUGUUUCAACAUCAAAAUCUAUGGCCAAACAAGAGCUUUAAGACGGAAAAUUGUUGAUAAGAACCUGUGCACUCGUGAUCUCCUCCCGCGAGCGGUAAUCUGAUGAUGCACCUCGGAUUUUCCAAUAUCUAGAGCUGGUUGCGAAAUCUCAAGACCUUCAUCUUUUACAAUAGAUAUGUAUCUACAAGGAUGAAACAAGUCGGGUUCAGUAAAUGCAGUGUCUUUUUCAUUACCAAAAGACGGGAGAUCCUUGGGCGGGGAUGGUCCUGCAUUUGUUUGUCUGAUUUUGACUUGACAUGGAGUUCAAGAAAAUAAAUGAGACUUUUGAGUCUCGUGAUCUUAAACAUGUCAUGUGGAAAGUUAGAACGAAAGAGUUGCUGAAAAAGGGAAAAAAGAGAAGUUUUUUUUGGAACAGACUAAAGGAAAGUAUACCAACUUUCACAUACCGGUUUAGGUUGAAUUUUUCAACUCCGAGGUCUUCAUCCCAGAGGAAGAUAUAACUAUACUCAGCAACUAUAUCUGGAUGUAAAAAUCUCUUUGCAAACCACCUGUUAUUUUCACAACAUUCGGAAAAUGUCAAGAUAGUUUUGGUUCAAACACAAGACGUUUCUAGACUAAAGCAACUCCGUCUGAGAUGCAAAUAGAAACUGUACCAUUUUGUUUGAUUCAAAGCUGAGAUGUGUAUUACACUGUUACUCCAUUCAAAAGUCCUCCAUCCAUCGACAUUACCAUCGUAGUGAAAAAGCAUCACCACAAAAUCACUUGAUAGAAACUACGAACCAAUUCAAUAAACGAACUUAUGGUUAACUCUGUAUAUGUCAUAAAAAUAUGCAACGUAACAGAACACACACCUUUAGUACCAUCUUGUUUACUGUUUCUUUUUGCUUUAUCCCAACAGCUGCAGCAAAUAAGUACUUUGAAGGCUCUUUUUUCUGUUAAAAACCGAAACAUGAAUUUUAUUUGCAGAUAAAUUCAACUCUGCAUUUGAAACUUAUGAGGAACGCGGAGAAGAUGGAUAUGAAUAUAACCUCUGGAUAACCCCAUAAUGGCCGUCUUUCAAA